Molecule: unclassified non-coding RNA, 210 nt
Filed under: plant metagenome
Description: partial contains small subunit ribosomal RNA, internal transcribed spacer 1, and 5.8S ribosomal RNA
Source: RNAcentral
UUUCCGUAGGUGAACCUGCGGAAGGAUCAUUCAUAAUAAGUGUUUUAUGGCACUUUUUAAAAAUCCAUAUCCACCUUGUGUGCAAUGUUAGAUCUCGUCAAUCUUGGCGAGAUUUUUAUACAUCAACUCAUUCUUUAACUAAUUUGUCUGAAAAAUAUUAUGAAUACUUAAUUCAAAAUACAACUUUCAACAACGGAUCUCUUGGCUUUC